GACGAACGCUGGCGGCGUGCCUAAUACAUGCAAGUAGAACGCUGAAGAGAGGAGCUUGCUCUUCUUGGAUGAGUUGCGAACGGGUGAGUAACGCGUAGGUAACCUGCCUUGUAGCGGGGGAUAACUAUUGGAAACGAUAGCUAAUACCGCAUAACAAUAGGUGACACAUGUCAUUAUUUUAAAGGGGCAAUUUCCUCACUACAAGAAGGACCUGCGUUGUAUUAGCUAGUAGGGGAGGGAACGGCUCACCUAGGCGAAGGUAAAUAGCCGACCUGAGAAGGUGAUCGGCCACACUGGGACUGAGACACGGCCCAGACUCCUACGGGAGGCAGCAGUAGGGAAUCUUCGGCAAUGGGGGCAACCCUGACCGAGCAACGCCGCGGGAGUGAAGAAGGUUUUCGGAUCGUAAAGCUCUGUUGUAAGUCAAGAACGAGUGUGAGAGUGGAAAGUUCACACUGUGACGGUAGCUUACCAGAAAGGGACGGCUAACUACGUG
This 496-nucleotide ribosomal RNA is filed under the name uncultured bacterium. RNAcentral describes it as "partial 16S ribosomal RNA". It matches the Rfam family "Bacterial small subunit ribosomal RNA", at positions 28 to 507 of the family's 1533-position model. The record is from RNAcentral.